RNAcentral lists this microRNA (21 nucleotides) under Simian foamy virus. RNAcentral describes it as "sfv-miR-S3-3p". Its record names the gene sfv-miR-S3-3p. Lineage: Riboviria; Pararnavirae; Artverviricota; Revtraviricetes; Ortervirales; Retroviridae. The record is from miRBase by way of RNAcentral.
GAUAGUCCACAGCUCCCUUCU